Molecule: non-coding RNA, 1931 nt
Organism: Dermatophagoides farinae (American house dust mite)
Lineage: Eukaryota; Metazoa; Arthropoda; Arachnida; Sarcoptiformes; Pyroglyphidae
Source: RefSeq, a predicted model, not a curated record
UGUUUGCUGUUGUAUAUUUCAAUAUGGUUUGACUUGUGGUCCCUUCUACUAAUAAUGAGGGCGUGAUCACGAAAAACAAUGCUGCCAACCGAAAAUACAAGAAAAAGUAACACACCUAUAAUAUCAUCAUUUAUUAUUAUUAUUAGUGAACCUGAUGACAAAGAAUCUGGAUGGAAAAAUAAACAACAAUUAAUAAAUAAUGUUCCUUUAAAAGAUGAAAUAAUCAACAAAAGAUUUAUCGAAACACCAUUUACCACUGGUAAUCAACAACAACAUCAAUCAUGGUUUUCUCAAUUGCCAAAGUUUAAAUUAUCAUCAAAAAAAAUGAAAAAGAAGACUAGUCGGUCAUCGACUAUGGAUGAAGAUCUAUUAUUAAUCUGUGAAAUUACAGCAACAAUGUGCGAUGCAAAUACAUAUGUGGUGGAUACAAUUAGAUUAAUUAUUUGCAGACCCGAUCACAACCAACCACGUGGAAGGAUUCCACAAUAGAUUGAAUCGUCUAAUUCAUUUCAAUUGUCCUUGACUGAAUUUCAGAACAAUCGCUGAUAUGGCGUUAAAUGUUCUUCUGCCAUUCAACACCACAUGUUUAUGUGAAGUUACUUUCUCAGCUUUAACACAUAUUAAAUCCCAAUAUAUCGUUGAUCGCUAAAAAAGUGGUCUUACGUCCAGCAGUGUCAAACAUUCUCCACCCAUCUCAUUGAAUAUUUACCUUUAAUUUUAAUUUAAUACUUUUUGUUCAAUUUUUAAUUUAUGUUUUUAAUCGAAUUCUAAAACUUUAUACAUAUGGAAUAAAUAAAUUACGAUGAUCUCGACAUCAUCGUCAUAAUCGUAACGAUAAUAAUUUGUUUGCAGCCAUGAUUGGAAAUCGAACACUAUUGAAAAUUACAAUCAAUUAGAUACCAAUGAUUAAUUAGGCUAUAUAACAUUCAUUAAAUCAAAGUCGAACAUUCCAUUUGAAAUAUUCAAAUUUUGACCAUUAACAUUCCAAAACAAUCAUGUUUUGGAUUUCAAAUGUUUCGGUUUUUUUUGGUGUUUUUUUUGCGUUUAUUAGAUAUACAAAUGAAUUUUGAUGCUUAAUAAAAUUUUUCACUCGUAAAAUUAUUGGAACAUAUUUUCUUGAUCAAGAUGAAAUUUCUCCCAAUUUUUCAAAGAUGAAUUGGCGUCAAGAGUAUAAAUAAUUUAAAAAUACUCGAUUCACUGGACCCACAAGCAUCAAGUACAACUAAUGAAAUUAUAGUGUUCAAUCAAAAUAUUUCUGAAUCACCAAUUGUGCAAAAGUCGUGCUCAAUCAAUAAAGUUCAUGGUAAAUUUUCUUCAUGUGUGAUUGUUUAACUUCCUCAUCAUCGUAUAGAUGUCACUACCGGUUUAUUUGCGAUGUAAAAAAUUUGACACACCCCUUAUCAGAUCAAAUGAAUCUUUAUGUUGAUUUUUGGUGUUUUUUCAAAUGAAAUUUUUACAAAUGAAAUUUUUACUGCUGAAAUAAUUUAUACAUAAUAUGAUUCAACGGUUUAUGAGUACUAGCGUUAAAUUCUUCAAAAAUGAGUGUUUUUCCAUUGAUUUUAGCGAAAAAUAAAUCAUCAUUCAAUUUUCAUUUUUAUUAGGUGUGUCAAAAAAACACGUUGUUUAUACACUAAAUGUUGUGCGAUCCUUGUCAAACAAGAUAAAACCCAAUACAAAACUGUAAGGAACCGGAAGUCUUUGUUUCCGUAAAUAAAAUGAAACUGCUUAUCUCCUUAUCGCUUCUCGGCCUAAAAAAUUUGGCUAAGAUCAAAAGUGUAGUAUCUGUUCUUAUCAGCUUAAUAUCUGAUACGACCAUUAUUAAUGGUCAAGAUAUUGAACCAAUUUUUGCAGGUGGGCGAAGAGUCUGAGCUGUGCUCAAACUUUGCCACGGGUUGGCCUGGAAUUGCACUCACCUCCAGGAUCGGCCCAAU